AAACCAGAAAAGGGGGAAACAUUCCCCCCAAGGA
RNAcentral lists this transfer RNA (34 nucleotides) under Haringtonhippus francisci. Its description in RNAcentral is "partial tRNA-Thr". Lineage: Eukaryota; Metazoa; Chordata; Mammalia; Perissodactyla; Equidae. The record is from RNAcentral.